Molecule: long non-coding RNA, 1322 nt
Organism: Sardina pilchardus (European sardine)
Lineage: Eukaryota; Metazoa; Chordata; Actinopteri; Clupeiformes; Clupeidae
Exons: 6
Source: RefSeq, a predicted model, not a curated record
AAGCUGAGAUGUUGUAGCCUAUAAAGAUGUGGCAUCAUAUAAUUAGUCUUGAAUGCUUUCUGUGCUCCCCUCACAGUGAUCCUCAGUGCGGUGAGAUUAAAGUGUAAUGAGCUGGUAGAUGGAUUAGUGCCUGAGGAAAUUCCACAGAAGUAUUUACUGUCUUCCAGACCUAAGGUUGAAGUCAUUCAGGAAAGCUUACACUGUUAAAUAUUACUGUGAUUUCACAAUACCUUACAGUAUUAUUUCACAGUAAAUUACUGUACUCAAAUAUUUACUGUAAAAUCACAGUAGCUCUAUCACAUUACAGCACCUUGUUGUGAAAUUUGAAUUGCACUUGAACCGCACAGCAUUGUGGGGCGAUUUCUAACGUUCCCCCCUCCCACCCGCACCUGCUGCCACCCUCAACUGAAUUUUCAACUCAGCCGUCCACCAGUGACUUCAAUCAUCACUUUUCUGCAUGUGUAAGCUGUACAAACUCUGCCAUCAUAUCCAAGACAUUGCAUUGUGAGGACUGGUGCCCUGGGAACACUGAGCGCAUUCUCGAAAAUUCCAAAUUUGUGCCACUUCCAUACGAAGACAGCCCAGAAUAAUUGGGCUCCAUCAACCAUUCCGGGUAAAGUCGGUCUGUCCUGAUUGCACUACUUGCUAAUUGAUGACGUCUAGAAGCCAUAGCUGCUUCCCUCAACGUGGCAGCCCUCACAAAUAAACUGAUACCAGGAAUUAACAUACAGUAGAUGGUGAUGGUGGUGGUGGCAAGGGUGCCUUCACAAGGUGCCAUGUCACAAUCUCAGUGUGGAGCCAAAGGCUGCUAUUGCAAGUCAGAUGGGGGACGAUCGAUGUAAGGCAUCAGAAAGGUGGUGUACGUACAAAGGCUGGAGCUGCUGGAGACAGUGUUGCACUUAGAUACUUGAUUUACUGCCGAAGGUACCAUCAGAGCACCACCCUACCCCUGCAGGACCAGAAGAGGACGGACAGGGGGCCAACAUUUUUUAACACUCUGACCAUGGACUAUUUAAACCAUUGAGGUAACGCAGACGUCUGAUCCCACUUGGCUAAAACAGAAGACUGAGGAGGAGUUUCUUUCCUCAUGCCAUUCGCAUCCUGAGCACACAUACUACAUUACAUGGACUUGCCAUACUGCACUUACACACUGCACUAUUUACCCCCUGACUCAUUCCGUGUCAAAUCAGACAAGGUUAUGCUGCACCGUCUCAGGCCUGUACAAUAUUUUUUUGUUCAAUCCUAUGUCUUCAUAUUAUAAUGUUUGUAUGGCCUGCUCAAUGAUUUUCAUUGAAAAGUGUUCAUUAAAAGUUCAAAUGGUA